Molecule: long non-coding RNA, 208 nt
Filed under: Manihot esculenta (cassava)
Lineage: Eukaryota; Viridiplantae; Streptophyta; Magnoliopsida; Malpighiales; Euphorbiaceae
Description: long non-coding RNA (MESC_LNC005102)
Source: RNAcentral
CAAUUUGUUAAUUGUUGAUUAUUCCAAAUACUUUCUCUAGAUAAUAUUGUUUUACUGCUAUCUGUAUUAAUAUUUAAAUUAUUUAUAAGUUCGUCAUCUGGUUGUCUGGACCUAGAAGAUCUAUUUCUCCUAAAUAAACUCAUCUUAAACGUCUAGGGUUUUCGCAUACACUUCCUUCUCUACUCGUUCUGCAGGACUUACACCUUUU